This 393-nucleotide ribosomal RNA is filed under the name uncultured bacterium. Its description in RNAcentral is "bacterial SSU rRNA". It matches the Rfam family "Bacterial small subunit ribosomal RNA", at positions 505 to 898 of the family's 1533-position model. The record is from RNAcentral.
GUGUCAGCAGCCGCGGUAAUACGAACUGUGCAAACGUUAUUCGGAAUCACUGGGCUUACAGGGUGCGUAGGCGGCUUGUUAAGCAGGGUGUGAAAUCCCUCGGCUCAACCGAGGAAUUGCGCCCUGAACUGGCGAGCUUGAGUGGGAUAGAGGUGCGUGGAACUUCCAGUGGAGCGGUGAAAUGUGUUGAUAUUGGAAGGAACACCAGAGGCGAAAGCGGCGCACUGGAUCUCAACUGACGCUGAGGCACGAAAGCCAGGGGAGCAAACGGGAUUAGAUACCCCGGUAGUCCUGGCUGUAAACGAUGAGCACUAGCUGGCAGCGGCGGAUGCCGUUGCCAACGUAGCGAAAGUGUUAAGUGCUCCGCCUGGGGAGUAUGGUCGCAAGGCUGAA